CCAGAUAUCGUCUAGUGGUUAGGACACCAGGUUCUGAGCCCUAGCAUCCUGGUAACCCCGGUUCAAACCCGGGUAUCUGGU
This is a non-coding RNA of Cronartium quercuum f. sp. fusiforme G11, 81 nucleotides long. NCBI's taxonomy places the organism in Eukaryota, Fungi, Basidiomycota, Pucciniomycetes, Pucciniales, Coleosporiaceae. The record is from the annotation of a GenBank genome assembly.